Molecule: unclassified non-coding RNA, 148 nt
Filed under: uncultured Ascomycota
Lineage: Eukaryota; Fungi; Ascomycota
Description: sequence contains ITS1
Source: RNAcentral
CCGAGUUAGGGUUUUUUAUGGCCCAACCUCCAACCCCUUGUAUACUGCCGAGCGUUUUUAUGUUGCUUCGGUGGGAUAAAGUACCUGCCGAAGCCCAACAAAAAAUCUUUAUAAUGAUGUUGUCUGAGUUAAAAUAAAUAAAUAUUUA